RNAcentral lists this ribosomal RNA (207 nucleotides) under uncultured Lachnospiraceae bacterium. Its description in RNAcentral is "partial 16S ribosomal RNA". It matches the Rfam family "Bacterial small subunit ribosomal RNA", at positions 568 to 774 of the family's 1533-position model. Lineage: Bacteria; Bacillati; Bacillota; Clostridia; Lachnospirales; Lachnospiraceae. The record is from RNAcentral.
AGCGUAGACGGCAAUGCAAGUCUGGAGUGAAAACCCACAGCUCAACUGUGGGAUUGCUUUGGAAACUGUAUAGCUAGAGUGCAGGAGAGGUAAGUGGAAUUCCUAGUGUAGCGGUGAAAUGCGUAGAUAUUAGGAGGAACACCAGUGGCGAAGGCGGCUUACUGGACUGUAACUGACGUUGAGGCUCGAAAGCGUGGGGAGCAAACA